Microtus ochrogaster (prairie vole) is the source of this 107-nucleotide small nuclear RNA. NCBI's taxonomy places the organism in Eukaryota, Metazoa, Chordata, Mammalia, Rodentia, Cricetidae. The record is from Ensembl.
AUGUUCAUCUCAGCAGCACAUAUACUAAAACUGGCAUAACACUGAGGAGAUUAGCAUGGCCCCUGCAUAAGGACGACACACAAAUUCCUGAAGCAUUUCAUAUUUAU